UGUUUUUAAGGGUGGGUAAAUGAUGCCUGUUUUUGUGUCUAUAGGCUAGAAAUAUGAAGAAAGAGAGAUGUUUUUCUGGGAAAACAUGCAGAUUCACAAGUUUCCAGUGGCAGCCUCGUGUCACAGAGAAAGGGCUUAGACCACGGUUCCUACAUAGCCGAUCCUUCCAGAAUGGUUGGCUUCCUUGAAGUGGAAUACGUACACAGAAGCUUUCAUGUUAUCAUUACAUUCGAGCAAUUCUGAAUUUUAGAAUAGUUGUCACAAUUAGAUCUUCAAGUUAAAGCCUUGGGCA
Molecule: long non-coding RNA, 292 nt
Filed under: Fukomys damarensis (Damara mole-rat)
Lineage: Eukaryota; Metazoa; Chordata; Mammalia; Rodentia; Bathyergidae
Description: lncRNA (ENSFDAG00000026729.1)
Source: RNAcentral